This 407-nucleotide ribosomal RNA is filed under the name bacterium enrichment culture clone ALO1_GLFRUDD03GMYDM. RNAcentral describes it as "bacterial SSU rRNA". It matches the Rfam family "Bacterial small subunit ribosomal RNA", at positions 9 to 416 of the family's 1533-position model. The record is from RNAcentral.
GAGUUUGAUCUUGGCUCAGAUUGAACGCUGGCGGCAUGCCUUACACAUGCAAGCCGAACGGCAGCACGGGAGCUUGCUCCUGGUGGCGAGUGGCGAACGGGUGAGUAAUGCAUCGGAACGUAUCCUGGAGUGGGGGAUAACGUAGCGAAAGUUACGCUAAUACCGCAUAUUCUGUGAGCAGGAAAGCGGGGGAACCUUCGGGCCUCGCGCUCUUGGAGCGGCCGAUGUCGGAUUAGCUAGUUGGUGAGGUAAAGGCUCACCAAGGCGACGAUCCGUAGCAGGUCUGAGAGGAUGAUCUGCCACACUGGAACUGAGACACGGUCCAGACUCCUACGGGAGGCAGCAGUGGGAAUUUUGGACAACGGGGGCAACCCUGAUCCAGCCAUGCCGCGUGAGUGAAGAAGGCC